Molecule: long non-coding RNA, 2498 nt
Organism: Suricata suricatta (meerkat)
Lineage: Eukaryota; Metazoa; Chordata; Mammalia; Carnivora; Herpestidae
Source: Ensembl
AAACAGUAAGCUCACAUAAUCCAGAGCCAGUAGGUUCAGAGCCUUCUAGAGAACCAAGAGAACUGAUGGGUCCACUCUAGUCUGGGAGGCAUGAGCUAAAUGCCAUAGUUCUAUUAUGAAGGUGGCAGCUUCAAGACCCAGGAAGGGUCAGCAUUUCAGUUUCAAUAUGAAGGGAGGAAAAAAGUCAAUGUCCCAGUCUGAAAAUCAUCAGGAAGAAUUCCCUCCUACCUAAGGGAGGACUUGGCCAUCAACUGAUUGGAUGAGGCCCACCCUCACUGAGGAGGGCAAGCUGCUUUAGUCUACCAGUCUUUACUCAGUCUAAGUGUUAACCUUAUUCAAAACCACCCUCACUAAACACCCACAAUAAUGUUUGCCCAUAUAUCUUAGCACCUUGGGCCCGGUUGAAUUGACACAUAAAAUUAACCAUGACACUAUCAUACUCCACUAAACAAGAAUAUAAUCUUCCCAAUAAAUUGAUGUGAAUAAAAUCCUCAAAAUGUCAAUAGUAAAUGGCAGCUUCCAGUCUAAACUUGUAUGUGUAGUAUAUAUAUUCACAUGUAUACGUGCAUGUUACUUAUAGUAUAUGAAGUUAUUAUUCUUAAUCAUUUAAGGAAUAAUUUUAAGUGUUGUUCCUGUUAUAUAUAAAUCACAAAAUUCCAUCUCUCAAAAAAUGUUGAGUCCUGUCUCCCAUUGGACAUGGUGAAAUUGUGUUUUGAGUAUUUGUUUACUUGUAUCAACAUUAAACCUCUAGGUAAUAAUUAAUGGCAGAUCCACCAGGAAAGGAAAGUCUUCACAUUCCACAAACUCGACGGUGGAGGCAGGUUAUACUCUCCUAUUCCCGCCAGAGGAAAAGCCGUUUCCAUAUCAUUCCCAGGCAGCAGCUCAACCACUGAAACCCACAUUCCUUCAAACUACCAUUUUAUUACAAAGAACUUUAGUUUAUAAGCAACUUCUCAACUCAUCCCUUGUGUCCAGAAAAGCAGGCCUUCUUCUGUAUUCCCUGGACUCAGCUACGGUUUUGCCUAACCAGUUUGGCACUAAUUCCAAAUCCUGUUUUUCCAGAAUGAACCCAUCACUUGGCCGUAAAAUACCCGGCAGUGCUUAUUUAUAAGUGUAAAUGUAACAAGAUUCACUUUUGUAGGAUAAAUAAAUAUGGGAUUUCUAUUGUACAGCACAGUGACUGUUGUCUACACUUGAAAUUUGGUGGAAGAAAGCAUCUCAAGCAUGCUCCCCCCCCACACACACUAAUCUUAACUGUGUUGGGUGAGGCAUUUGUUCAUGAGUUUGAUGUAGGUAAUGAUUUUGUAGGCAGAUAAGCUUAGGGGUCCUGGGAAUAGGGGAGAGAAGACUAGAUUUCUAAACAUAAGAGAAGUCACAUUAGUCAUUUCUGAAUGAUGCCUGCUACUUAUCCUAGCACCUGCUUUGAGAACUUCCUAGGAUAUAUGAAAAUUGCGGAAAAAUAGAGCUCAGUAGUUAACAAUUCUUUUUUAAUGUAUUUAUUUUUGACAGAGAGAAUAUGGGUGGGGAGGGAAGAAAAGGAGGGCAGAGCAUCCAAAGUGGGUUCUGCAUUGACAGCAGAGACUCCCCUAUGGGCACAAACUCACACACCUUGAGAUCAUGAUCUGAGCCGAAGUCGAACGUUUAAAGGACUGAGCCACCCAGGUGCCUAUUCAUCAGUAGUUAGCAAGCUGCAAAAGAAUGCAGAAACAGGGGCACCUGGGUGGCUUAGUCUGUUAAGCGUCCAGCUUUGGACCUGGUCAUGAUCUCAGGGUUCCUGGGUUUGAGCCCCACAUGGGGCUCUGUCCUGACAACUAGCUCAGAGCCUGGAGCCUGCUUUGGAUUCUGUGUCUCCCUCUCUCUCUCUCUGUCCCUUCCCUGCUCACGCUGCUUCUCUCUGUCUCUCAAAAAUGAAUUAAAGACAUAAAAAAAAUGUAGAAACAAACAGCCACUACCAGGCAUGCAGAUGGUCUAAUCAUAGAAGAUGCAAUAAAUCCAUGAUAUAUAGUCUCCCACUGCUGUGUCCAGAGUAGAGACUGACUUGACACACAUUCUCUUGUGGAUUUUGUGGGAAUUGAACACUUACUAUGAGCACCCAAAUAAUGGACUAAGGGCACCAGGCACUUGACGAUGCCUAUCCUUCCUGGUCCAGUGACUUCAAUCAACUAGGACCUGGACUCUCAAUUUAAGAUGACUUUUGGCUGAUUUGAAAAUAAAAUGUCGUUUGCCACAUCCCUUGACAUAUAUGCACGUGUACUUGAUGUAAAUCUGACCCGACGUUGGGAAAUAUCCCUGGUGUUCUUUUCUUGCAAGGAAAACUGAUUCUUUUCCUAUGUUUUGGUUGAUGGUAUCUUUUGGUUCAGCAGCCAUCAAGAGUGAAAUCAAUUGUGGGUUAUAAUUUCACAACGUGUAUAAAUAUUUACUCUUUUAUUCUUGUUUGUUUGGGGUUCUUUCCUUUUUUCUUUAUUUUUGAUAGAGAGACAGCGCGAACAAGGGAGGGU